AAAAAAAAAAAAAAAGGAAAUUAACCAUUGGGUCAAGAGUAACUGGUAUUAAUUUUUGAAUAAUUCAUAACUUUUAGCAUUUUGAGUUUAUGUUCUGGAAUAUGCAUGGACAAUGAUACGAGGGACAGCAAAAUGUAGUAACUUUAUGCAUCCGCCUGAGCACACACAUUUAUAUAGUGCAUCAUGUUGAUAUUCAUCAAGUAAAGGUUUAAUAGUUGUGUAGUAGAUUGAAGUUUUUUUUCUAGUUGAUGUGCAUCCUUAUUAAUACUAACAUUUUUGUGGCAUGUACUGUGACGUUAAUCAAGAUUUGAUUCCCAAUACUUGUAUUUGAUGGCUGCUUCCUAUGUAAAUAUUUAUGAACCAAAGUACCAGAGCAAUUAUUUAUUUGGUUGGAGAUUUUGUACUAGUUGUGUGCUGUGUUAUAUUCUUAAUGAACUUAAAUCAUGAUAUUAGCCAGGCAAUAUUUCCAAGUAGAGUUUAGCCUUGCUGAGUUGUUAUUAGUGAAAAGUUGCUGUUGUCAAAUUGACAUCCUGUUUACACUAGGCAAUAUAUUGUUCUUACAAAGAGCUGCUUUCUUGUAUCUGGAAUGAAUGUAGAGAUAUGAUUUCACUAGGACCAUUCAAUUGCCUAUCCACAUACUUCAGGAUGUUUUAUAGACCGUAUGUAACAUGGGUUUGACAACCUUCUGACUGCCAAAACUUUUCACUAUUAAGUUUCAGCAGACACUAUCCUUGUGAAUCUGGAUUUUAGUGAACCAUUGUCCAUCAGUAUCAAUUUAUUGAUUCAUAUCCAUGUGUCGGAUUUGUAUCAACUGACUUAUCUGCCUUUAAAUCAUUUGGUUUUUUCUUUAUUUUGUUAGCUUUUACAUUGCAAUGCGGAAUCACUACUUGGUAUGUUGGUUGUUUCACUUGGGACCUGCUUAUUGAUUCUGAUAAAACAUUUCUGGAUCAGUUUCUUUGCGCACAAUGUUUGGAUGAUGAGCUACUGCUGCUAAUGUGUGUUCCUAGUAGUGUAUUUUUA
Molecule: unclassified non-coding RNA, 1020 nt
Filed under: Hevea brasiliensis (rubber tree)
Lineage: Eukaryota; Viridiplantae; Streptophyta; Magnoliopsida; Malpighiales; Euphorbiaceae
Source: RNAcentral